CCCUCGCCUCUCCCUCACGCGCCGCUCUCCCUCUUCCUCACGCGCUGCUCUCCGCCGCCUCCCCCUCACGCGCUGCUCUCCCUCAGCGGCGACGGAGCCUCCUCGUCUGGACUACCUCUCCCCUCUCCUCUCCGCGCCCCACCCCCUCCCCGGGCUCCCUCCCUUCCUUCCUCCCCUAGCGCGGCCGCAGAUAGGCGGCAGCAGUGGCUGGGGCCGACCCUCCCUUCCCCAGCCACCUUCCUCCCCCUCUCCACUAGGCGCGACGACAGUGGGAACGGAGCCUCUCUCCGCAGCCUCCUCCCUCCACUUUUUGCAAGUGGCAAGAUUUUGACAAUAACAAAGGUUGUGGUUAGAGACGGUGAUGAAAAUCUGGAGAUUUCCCUUAAUCGUACUCAAACCCAAGAGGAUGGAACACACUUUCGGCAGGAAUUCCUCUACCAUCGGUUGAACAACAACAAACCGUUAUUGCCUGCGAUUCUUGAGAAAGGCCGUAGAUUGACACCAAGUAGUAUUGUAGUUUUCUUUUUGCCUUCCCACUUUGUAUGGAAAAUACAUGUACUCAGUGGCUCUUAG
Molecule: long non-coding RNA, 573 nt
Filed under: Oryza sativa Indica Group (long-grained rice)
Lineage: Eukaryota; Viridiplantae; Streptophyta; Magnoliopsida; Poales; Poaceae
Description: lncRNA OsLima_01g0011980
Source: RNAcentral